RNAcentral lists this ribosomal RNA (435 nucleotides) under uncultured bacterium. Its description in RNAcentral is "partial 16S ribosomal RNA". It matches the Rfam family "Bacterial small subunit ribosomal RNA", at positions 28 to 507 of the family's 1533-position model. The record is from RNAcentral.
AGCGAACGCUGGCGGCAGGCUUAACACAUGCAAGUCGAGCGGGCACUUUCGGGUGUCAGCGGCGGCUGGGUGAGUAACGCGUGGGAACGUGCCCUCGGGUGCGGAAUAACUCAGUGGAACUUGAUCUAAUACCGGAUACGCCCUCUUGGGGGAAGGCCUGCUGCCGGAGGAUCGGUUCGCGUCUGAUUGGCUGGUUGGUGGGGUAUCGGGUCACCAAGGCGACGGUCAGUGGCUGGUCUGAGCGGAGGAUCAGCCACACUGGGACUGAGACACGGCCCAGACUGCUACGGGAGGCAGGAGUGGGGAAUAUUGGGGAAUGAGCGCUAGCCUGAUCCAGCCGUGCCACGGGAGUGAGGAAGGCCUUAGGGUUGUAAAGCUCUUUUAUCCGGGACGAUAAUGACGGUACCGGGGAAAUAAGCCCCGGCUAACUUCGUG